This is a long non-coding RNA of Sinocyclocheilus grahami, 301 nucleotides long. RefSeq lists it as uncharacterized. The transcript has 3 exons. The record is from RefSeq and is a predicted model, not a curated record. Lineage: Eukaryota; Metazoa; Chordata; Actinopteri; Cypriniformes; Cyprinidae.
AAUGCCACACCAGAGGCUUCAAAUUCCCGUUUGGCUCGAUUUCAGCAGUUUCCCACAUCUACGAAUUAGCCUGAAGAGCAAACUGUUCAUCUCUCAACAUGACGAAGACAGAAGGCAUCAAAAGAAAGUUAAAGCCUGUGAUAGAGAAGAAGAGAAGGGAUCGAAUCAACCAUAACCUAGAUGCAUUAAGAUAUCUGCUUUUCAAGAACACUGCAGACACGUGUUUACAAAAUCCUAAACUGGAAAAAGCAGAGAUUUUAGACCUUGCGGUUCAAUACAUCAAAAAGACCACAAGAAAAAC